This 839-nucleotide ribosomal RNA is filed under the name uncultured eukaryote. RNAcentral's name for it is "SSU rRNA". It matches the Rfam family "Eukaryotic small subunit ribosomal RNA", at positions 635 to 1426 of the family's 1831-position model. The record is from RNAcentral.
CGGUGUUCAACUGGCGUGCCCGCGGGACGUCCUGCCGGUGAGCUCAGCCCGCGAGGGCGGCUCAACUUGAAAUCCCAUCGCGGUGCUCUUCAUUGAGUGUCGAGGUGGGCCGGCACGAUUACUUUUGAACAAAUUAGAGUGCUUAAAGCAGGCUAAAAUUUUGCCUGAAUACUGUGUAUAUGGAAUAAUGGAAUAGGACCUCGGUUCUAUUUUGUUGGUUUUCGGAACCCCGAGGUAAUGAUUAAUAGGAACGGAUGGGGGCAUUCGUAUUGCGACGUUAGAGGUGAAAUUCUUGGAUCGUCGCAAGACGGACUAAAGCGAAAGCAUUUGCCAAAAACGCUUUCAUUGAUCAAGAACGAAAGUUAGAGGUUCGAAGGCGAUCAGAUACCGCCCUAGUUCUAACCAUAAACUAUGCCAGCUAGCGAUCCGCCGACGUCCCUCUGAUGACUCGGCGGGCAGCUUCCGGGAAACCAAAGCUUUUGGGUUCCGGGGGAAGUAUGGUUGCAAAGCUGAAACUUAAAGGAAUUGACGGAAGGGCACCACCAGGAGUGGAGCCUGCGGCUUAAUUUGACUCAACACGGGAAACCUCACCAGGCCCAGACACUGGAAGGAUUGACAGAUUGAGAGCUCUUUCUUGAUUCAGUGGGUGGUGGUGCAUGGCCGUUCUUAGUCGGUGGAGCGAUUUGUCAGGUUAAUUCCGAUAACGGACGAGACUCUGACCUGAUAACUAGACGCACUUGCGGCAUCUCAAAGGUCCGCCGGCGGCUGGCUUUGCGCCCGUCGUCGCGCGCGAUUUUUACUACCAACGUACAAACAAAUCUUCUUAGAGGGACAGGCGG